AGUGAACGCUGGCGGUAGGCCUAACACAUGCAAGUCGAACGGCAACAGGGUAAAGGCUGGCUCUUAGGUGAGGAGAGUGGGGGGGGGGUGAGGUAUACGGGGAACUGUACGAUGGCGGGGGGGAAAACGUAGGAAAGCUAGCGCUAAUCGCACAACGUCGCAAGGGGUAAAAGCGGGAGAUUUGGGGCCCUUGCCAUCGGAUGUGACCAGAUGGGAUUAGCUAGUAGGUGGGGUAACGGCGCACCCAGGCGACGAUCCGUAGCUGGUCUGAGAGGAUGACCAGCCACACUGGAACUGAGACACGGUCCAGACUCCUACGGGAGGCAGCAGUGGGGAAUAUUGGACAAUGGGCGCAAGCCUGAUGCAGCCAUGCCGCGUGUGUGAAGAAGGCCUUCGGGUUGUAAAGUCCUUUUAUCGGGGAAGAAAAGAGGCAGGUUAAUACCUCUCUGUAUUGACGUUACCCAAAGAAUAAGCACCGGCUAACUUCGUG
Molecule: ribosomal RNA, 490 nt
Filed under: uncultured bacterium
Lineage: Bacteria
Description: partial 16S ribosomal RNA
Rfam family: Bacterial small subunit ribosomal RNA
Source: RNAcentral